RNAcentral lists this transfer RNA (92 nucleotides) under marine bacterium B5-7. Its description in RNAcentral is "tRNA-Ser". It matches the Rfam family "tRNA". From Rfam's summary of the family: Transfer RNA (tRNA) molecules are approximately 80 nucleotides in length. The record is from RNAcentral. Lineage: Bacteria; Pseudomonadati; Pseudomonadota; Gammaproteobacteria.
GGAGAGAUGGCCGAGUGGCUGAAGGCGCUCCCCUGCUAAGGGAGUAUAGGGGUUAAACUCUAUCGAGGGUUCGAAUCCCUCUCUCUCCGCCA